GACGAACGCUGGCGGCGUGCUUAACACAUGCAAGUCGAACGGAAAGGCCCUGCUUGCAGGGUACUCGAGUGGCGAACGGGUGAGUAACACGUGGGUGAUCUGCCCUGCACUUCGGGAUAAGCCUGGGAAACUGGGUCUAAUACCGGAUAGGAGCCAUUUUUAGUGUGAUGGUUGGAAAGUUUUUUCGGUGUAGGAUGAGCUCGCGGCCUAUCAGCUUGUUGGUGGGGUAAUGGCCUACCAAGGCGGCGACGGGUAGCCGGCCUGAGAGGGUGGACGGCCACAUUGGGACUGAGAUACGGCCCAGACUCCUACGGGAGGCAGCAGUGGGGAAUAUUGCACAAUGGGCGCAAGCCUGAUGCAGUGACGCCGCGUGGGGGAUGACGGCCUUCGGGUUGUAAACUCCUUUCGCUAGGGACGAAGCUUUUUGUGACGGUACCUAGAUAAGAAGCACCGGCUAACUACGUG
Molecule: ribosomal RNA, 465 nt
Filed under: uncultured bacterium
Lineage: Bacteria
Description: partial 16S ribosomal RNA
Rfam family: Bacterial small subunit ribosomal RNA
Source: RNAcentral